RNAcentral lists this long non-coding RNA (395 nucleotides) under Strongylocentrotus purpuratus (purple sea urchin). Its description in RNAcentral is "uncharacterized LOC115922314". The record is from RNAcentral. Lineage: Eukaryota; Metazoa; Echinodermata; Echinoidea; Camarodonta; Strongylocentrotidae.
AUGAUGUACGUGCUAUUACCACGAUUACGAGGAAAAGAAGUCGCUCUUCAGAAUUCACCAUAACCGUCGACCACUCAUAUUUUAUAUUUUGAGAGUUAUAUUGAUCGUCAUAAAAAAAAUUGAAUUUUAGACCGUGUACAAAAUUUAAAGAAAGGAAGCACGUCAUAAUAUUGAAGAUGGCGAGGGUUUCGUCCAAUAAGUUGAUUUGUUGGGGUGUGACCGGUGCGAUCAUGGCCAGUAUCGGAAUCGUUCUCAUUCCCGUCACAGAUGUCGUCAUUUUAAAAGUCUUGGAACAGGAGGGAAUCAUUGUCCCCAGCGCCCUGGCCUACCCUCUAUGGGAAGAGGUCCCUAUCCCAAUUUAUUUCCAGUUCUGGUUCUGGAACCUCACCAACCCC